RNAcentral lists this ribosomal RNA (478 nucleotides) under uncultured bacterium. RNAcentral's name for it is "partial 16S ribosomal RNA". It matches the Rfam family "Bacterial small subunit ribosomal RNA", at positions 28 to 523 of the family's 1533-position model. The record is from RNAcentral.
GACGGACGCUGGCGGCGUGCUUAACACAUGCAAGUCGAACGGUAAGGCCCUUCGGGGUACACGAGUGGCGAACGGGUGAGUAACACGUGGGUGAUCUGCCCUGCACUUCGGGAUAAGCCUGGGAAACCGGGUCUAAUACCGGAUAGGACCACUGCCUGCAUGGGUGGUGGUGGAAAGCUUUUGCGGUGUGGGAUGGGCCCGCGGCCUAUCAGCUUGUUGGUGGGGUGAUGGCCUACCAAGGCGACGACGGGUAGCCGGCCUGAGAGGGUGACCGGCCACACUGGGACUGAGAUACGGCCCAGACGCCUACGGGAGGCAGCAGUGGGGAAUAUUGCACAAUGGGCGCAAGCCUGAUGCAGCGACGCCGCGUGAGGGAUGACGGCCUUCGGGUUGUAAACCUCUUUCAGCACCGACGAAGCGCAAGUGACGGUAGGUGCAGAAGAAGGACCGGCCAACUACGUGCCAGCCGCCGCCGUAA